UCUGGUUUAGACACCUAUGAUCUUCCCAAAUCUCUUGAAACAAGGUUUCCUAAUGAAGAUGAUGUCCCAUGGAUAUCAUACUUCUUUCUCCUCCUCCAAUUAUUCUCCCUAACCCACAAGUUCUUGAAAAUUUUAAGGUCACUCAAGCCCAAUUGGCAAGUAAAGGUCUAUGUGUGGUCAUAUCUUGGAGAUGUAGUCAAAUAUUGACAAGCCGGGAGAGUUGGGUGUCAAAGUCUUGAGAAAGUUGGUGGUUCAAUCACUUUCAAAGUCACAUAGUGAAUUCCUUUGGGACUCCUAUGAAACAGACUAUGACAAGACCCUUAAUGAUCUUAUCUAUUUGAUAAGAUCAACUUCCUAAAACUUUAUGGACAUUGACAAUGAUGACAUUGGAUAUCUAGUAAAGCUCUCUCUUCCCAGUGGAAAGGGAUCGGCCAUAGUCAACUCGGUUGACCAAAUGGUAAAGAGAAAAGCUAAGUCUGUGAUAGUCCCGUGUACCUUUAUCAAAGGGUCCAUAUGUUUAUAUUGCCAAAGGAAGGGGCAUUGGUUGCGAAGCUGCCAGAUUUACCUAAGGAUGUUAAAGUCAAUAAGUUUGACUCUACUUCAGGUAAAGUCCACUAUCUAACUCUGUUAAGUUUCUAUUCNCUUACUACAUGAUGUGACUGGGUCACAUGUUGAUGUUUUUAGAAUCAAAGAAAAAGUGAAGGAACUUAAAGAAAGAAUAUCCUGAAUCUGAUCGUAUAGAUGGAUUUCUAUUGCGUAGUUUGAAGAUCGGAUUCUUGAGCUACUUCUUAGGAGUUUUGAGAUAUUGCUUAGGAAUAGAUAACAACAAGUUUUCAUAUGGAUUGUAAGGAUAAGGUUUUCCGCAUAGUUUUAAAAUAAAAGAAAAUUUUUGAUUUUAUUUAUUUUAAAAUAUCCUUACAAUGGCAUUUGAGGAAAAAUUGUUGCUUAUAUGAUUCCAUUAAUAGCAAGAGUGGAAAUAUGAAAUUGAUUCUUUCAUUUGUGGUAAUGUCUAAAUUUACCAAAUAAGGAAAGAUUCUCAUCACCCAAGUUUCAAUUGGACCGGAACUUGGAAUCAUGCAAGUUGUAUAGCAUGAUGAAUGAGAACUU
This 1107-nucleotide long non-coding RNA is filed under the name Lactuca sativa (garden lettuce). Its description in RNAcentral is "long non-coding RNA (LSAT_LNC010316)". Lineage: Eukaryota; Viridiplantae; Streptophyta; Magnoliopsida; Asterales; Asteraceae. The record is from RNAcentral.